Non-coding RNA from Danio rerio (zebrafish), 73 nucleotides. Lineage: Eukaryota; Metazoa; Chordata; Actinopteri; Cypriniformes; Danionidae. The record is from Rfam.
GGGGAAUUAGCUCAAAUGGUAGAGCGCUCGCUUAGCAUGCGAGAGGUAGCGGGAUCAAUGCCAGCAUUCUCCA